This 793-nucleotide ribosomal RNA is filed under the name uncultured bacterium. RNAcentral describes it as "bacterial SSU rRNA". It matches the Rfam family "Bacterial small subunit ribosomal RNA", at positions 48 to 841 of the family's 1533-position model. The record is from RNAcentral.
GCUACACAUGCAAGUCGAGCGAGAAGUAAAGAAAUGAAGCUUCGGUAGAUUUUCAUUAUGGAAAGCGGCGGACGGGUGAGUAACGCGUAGGCAACCUGCCCUGUACAGGGGGAUAGCCACCCGAAAAGGUGAUUAAUACCCCAUGAUGCAAGAGAUACACAUGUAUCACUUGUCAAAGAUUUAUCGGUAUGGGAUGGGCCUGCGUCUGAUUAGCUAGUUGGUAGGGUAACGGCUUACCAAGGCAACGAUCAGUAGCCGACCUGAGAGGGUGAUCGGCCACAUUGGAACUGAGACACGGUCCAAACUCCUACGGGAGGCAGCAGUGGGGAAUAUUGCACAAUGGGGGAAACCCUGAUGCAGCAACGCCGCGUGAAGGAAGAAGGCCUUCGGGUUGUAAACUUCUGUCCUAGGGGAAGAAACAAAUGACAUUACCCUUGGAGGAAGCCCCGGCUAACUACGUGCCAGCAGCCGCGGUAAUACGUAGGGGGCGAGCGUUAUCCGGAAUUAUUGGGCGUAAAGAGUGCGUAGGUGGCAUCUUAAGCGCAGGGUUUAAGGCAAUGGCUCAACCAUUGUUCGCCUUGCGAACUGGGGUGCUUGAGUGCAGGAGGGGAAAGUGGAAUUCCUAGUGUAGCGGUGAAAUGCGUAGAUAUUAGGAGGAACACCAGUGGCGAAGGCGACUUUCUGGACUGUUACUGACACUGAGGCACGAAAGCGUGGGGAGCAAACAGGAUUAGAUACCCUGGUAGUCCACGCCGUAAACGAUGAGCACUAGGUGUCGGGGUCGCAAGACUUC